Molecule: non-coding RNA, 46 nt
Filed under: Schistosoma mansoni
Lineage: Eukaryota; Metazoa; Platyhelminthes; Trematoda; Strigeidida; Schistosomatidae
Also listed under: 1 other name
Source: RNAcentral
GCACAGCUGAGGAGUCCCACAAUAGGACGAAACGGCCGUUCAGUGC